AUCUGUCUGGGCAAGAGCUGCUCAAGCCACACCUUGUGACACUGAGCAGCCUCAGGAGGACAACGUCAGAAACCAAAAGCUCCUCUGCCCAGGGAUGGGGACCCGCCGACUUCAAGGGCAGAACAGGUGCCUGGCUAGUGGGGGAGUUCCCCAAUGUGGAUUUAAACUGUAGUGUCUUCAGAGAACAUAACCAACAUUUGUCUUUAGGAGAUGUGUUUGUUUGAGUAGAUCAGCUAUGAAAAUACCCAGCCGGCCUGCAGCCCUCCCGGCAGAUGCUGAAAAGGAAACCCGACUGGGAGAUGCCGCCCACCCUUAUCCCCAGAGAGCUGCGUUGUUUCCUCUUGCCUUGGCCUUUGGAUCCGGCCAUAGCAAGCAUCCCUGGGCACCUGGCUGAAGCUGGAAACUCGGGAUAAGAAUGGAAGCCCUGGAAGGGAAGAAGAACCGAGGAGUGAGCUUGCCCUGAGGACAGCACAUUGCACUCUCACCUCCUUUGCAGUUAAGUGUGAAAUAGUGCCAAUAGAGUGUAAAAGAAAAGAAAGAAGAUGAUUCACCUCCCAAAGAUUCCCCACUGCUGUGUCCCUUCUAUCAACUUGAUACAAAAAAACACAAUGGCCCCGGGAACCACGUGUUGAAGAUGAGAGAGCUAAAAGAUGGAAAGAGACUGGAGCCCUGAGUCACCACCUGGAGGAAAACUACCCACCCAUCAGGAAUUUCUACUACACAUUUGGGAGUUUUUGGGGUUACAGCAGCUAAUUUAACGAAAACACCCAGAGACAAGAGCUAUUACUGCACAAAUUGGUUAAGUUACCUUUUUGUAUGUUUGGGUCCUCUCUAUUCGAUGAGACUGCGCGUUCCUUUGAAGCAAAUCUGUUUAAAAUUCUUAUAUCCCCAGAGGGCCUAGCAGAGAGUAUGCACAGAGUGAGCCUUCAGUAAAUGCUGAGUAAAUAAGCUCCUAAUGGAUGAAACUGUGUCUUCGAAGUUUGUUCUGACCAGUACUUAGUAUAGGAUUUUGUGCUGUUGGUCACUUUUCAUAAAGGUUCUUGCUAUUAAGGAACUUGACAUCCAAUGUACUCAUAGAAAGUAGAAAUUCAGGGGAAACAAAUAGAAGAGAUAUGUCCAAAAAUCCAUUUAAAAUUUCAUUGACAGAUAUUUAUCUCUUUAAUCCUGGAAGUUGUUUCAUGUAAGGGAAGGUUCAGUAGAAUGAAAACAGGACUGUAAGCUGGGAGGAGAUUUGGGGUCUCUUGGCCAACUCUGCCACAAAUUGUGUUACCUUCAACUUCCCUGCCUGUAAAAUGAAGUCAGUGGUCCCUAAAAUGAAAUUGGACUAAUGGCAAAUUAGCUAGCAUUUGAUUAUACAUCGAUAGUUUCCCCAUGUGAUUUUAACGCACAAAUCAGAUUUUGGAACCAUUAGGUAGGUGAUCUUAUCUUAUGAGUUUAUCUUUUUCAACAUGGAAAAAUAAAUUUGUUUUGCUGACCGAAGGCUGUGUAACUUAGAACUGGAAAGAGACAUGUAAUUGAAUAACCCAUCUCUAUGGGGCAAAAAAAUGAAACACCUUUAGUUUGUUCAAAGAUGAAAUGGAAAAAUAAACAUGUUUUAAGA
Homo sapiens (human) is the source of this 1600-nucleotide long non-coding RNA. Ensembl annotates it as long intergenic non-protein coding RNA 1093. The record is from Ensembl. Lineage: Eukaryota; Metazoa; Chordata; Mammalia; Primates; Hominidae.